AACGAACGCUGGCGGCAGGCCUAACACAUGCAAGCCGAACGCUCCGCAAGGGGGAGUGGCGCACGGGUGAGUAACACGUGGGAACCUACCUUCUGGUACGGAACAACCAAGGGAAACUUUGGCUAAGACCGUAUACGACCUCCGGGUGAAAGAUUGAUCGCCGGAAGAGGGGCCCGCGUCCGAUUAGGUAGUUGGUGAGGUAACGGCUCACCAAGCCUUCGAUCGGUAGCUGGUCUGAGAGGAUGACCAGCCACACUGGGACUGAGACACGGCCCAGACUCCUACGGGAGGCAGCAGUGGGGAAUCUUGCGCAAUGGGCGAAAGCCUGACGCAGCGACGCCGCGUGCAGGAUGAAGGCCUUC
RNAcentral lists this ribosomal RNA (362 nucleotides) under uncultured bacterium. Its description in RNAcentral is "bacterial SSU rRNA". It matches the Rfam family "Bacterial small subunit ribosomal RNA", at positions 29 to 419 of the family's 1533-position model. The record is from RNAcentral.